Molecule: transfer RNA, 91 nt
Filed under: Phascolarctobacterium sp.
Lineage: Bacteria; Bacillati; Bacillota; Negativicutes; Acidaminococcales; Acidaminococcaceae
Description: tRNA-Ser
Rfam family: tRNA
About the family: Transfer RNA (tRNA) molecules are approximately 80 nucleotides in length.
Source: RNAcentral
GGAGAUGUAGCGAAGUGGUCAUAACGCGGCUGACUCGAAAUCAGUUUGCCGUUUACGCGGCACGUGGGUUCGAAUCCCACCGUCUCCGCCA